CCUACGGGAGGCAGCAGUGGGGAAUAUUGGGCAAUGGGCGCAAGCCUGACCCAGCAACGCCGCGUGAAGGAAGAAGGCUUUCGGGUUGUAAACUUCUUUUCUCAGGGACGAAGAAAGUGACGGUACCUGAGGAAUAAGCCACGGCUAACUACGUGCCAGCAGCCGCGGUAAUACGUAGGUGGCAAGCGUUAUCCGGAUUUACGGGGUGUAAAGGGCGUGUAGGCGGGGAAGCAAGUCAGAUGUGAAAACCAGGGGCUCAACCUGUGGCCUGCAUUUGAAACUGUUUUUCUUGAGUACUGGGGAGGCAGACGGAAUGCCUGGUGUAGCGGUGAAAUGCGUAGAUAUUAGGAGGAACACCGGUGGCGAGGGCGGUCUGCUGGACAGCAACGGACGCUGAGGCGCGAAAGCGUGGGGAGAAAACAGGAUUAGAUACCCGAGUAGUC
This 443-nucleotide ribosomal RNA is filed under the name uncultured bacterium. RNAcentral's name for it is "partial 16S ribosomal RNA". It matches the Rfam family "Bacterial small subunit ribosomal RNA", at positions 338 to 795 of the family's 1533-position model. The record is from RNAcentral.